GGUGGCUAGAUCGAGCGGAGCUUCCCUUCCUCUGCCCGGCGGGACAAGGACAAGGACAAGCAGCAACAUCAUCGCAUCAUCAAGCGACUGUUGAUUGGUCACCACCAAGCUCAGGUCCAUGGAGCUCCAGUGUCAAGGGCACAAAGGGGAGGACCAGUGCUUAUUUGUAUAGCACAAAUGCUGGAAUCGACGCGCGCAGAGAAGCAGAGGAGGGUUGGAAUCGACGCGCAAGGCAGCGAGGUCCUCAUCCACCGGGAACAAGUCCAACAAGGCCUCGCUCGGCAAGGCCCAACACGCAACCAGGAACAACAACUAGGCGGCCCAACUCCAACGAUUCAUUGAUACCCCU
Molecule: non-coding RNA, 349 nt
Organism: Triticum urartu
Lineage: Eukaryota; Viridiplantae; Streptophyta; Magnoliopsida; Poales; Poaceae
Source: RefSeq, a predicted model, not a curated record